Camellia sinensis is the source of this 491-nucleotide long non-coding RNA. RefSeq lists it as uncharacterized. The record is from RefSeq and is a predicted model, not a curated record. NCBI's taxonomy places the organism in Eukaryota, Viridiplantae, Streptophyta, Magnoliopsida, Ericales, Theaceae.
GUGCCUUUCACCCUGCUGAAGCAGAGUUAGAAAAGAGGAAGGAAGAGAGAGGUCGGCUGAGAGGGAGAACUGGGAGGAAGAAAAAAAAAAAAAAAAAAAAAGGGGGAAAAGAAGGAAGUCUUGUGGAAUACCAAGAUUCAAGCUUAAAAAUUGUGAGAAAUUCAUCUUCAAGUCACGCGCCAUUGUCUGCCUGAUUUAUCUGAUAUGUCUAGUCUGUCUGAUUUGCUUCUGCAGCCAUCUGUGAUCAGGUGCGUGACCAUGCUUAGAGGCAUCUGCCUAGAAUCUGUUUUGUCAGCCAACCUAUGUGCCUCCCGUGGAGGUUCCGGAUAUGUCAAGUAAUUAUUGCUAAGUAAUUUAAAGUUUAAGUUCUGUUUUCUUUUUUUUUGGUUAAACAAGUCUUGUGUAUUUUGCGAAUAGGGCUAAGUCCUUUUUUGUCUAAUCUGUAUAUAUAUGAUGACUUAAAGAUAAUGUGUAUAUAUGUAUAUAAAAAG